GAGGGUAUAGCUCAGUGGUAGAGCACUGCUUAGCAUGCACAAGGUCCUGGGUUCAAUCCCCAGUAACUCCU
Molecule: transfer RNA, 71 nt
Filed under: Camelus bactrianus (Bactrian camel)
Lineage: Eukaryota; Metazoa; Chordata; Mammalia; Artiodactyla; Camelidae
Also listed under: 2 other names
Rfam family: tRNA
About the family: Transfer RNA (tRNA) molecules are approximately 80 nucleotides in length. Their secondary structure includes four short double-helical elements and three loops (D, anti-codon, and T loops).
Source: Rfam by way of RNAcentral